UUUGUUUUUGUCUGUGU
This 17-nucleotide small RNA is filed under the name Arabidopsis thaliana (thale cress). RNAcentral describes it as "ATSL123380". The record is from RNAcentral. Lineage: Eukaryota; Viridiplantae; Streptophyta; Magnoliopsida; Brassicales; Brassicaceae.